AGAAUCCAACGAAUUUUGGAACAAAAACUAACUGAGGCAUCCAAGCUACUGAGGCAUCCAAGCUACUGCUUUUGCUGCUGAUCAUCUCCAUGCCAGGCCCAAACUAUGUCCUUCAGUGCUGGCCGGAUGUCUUCUUCAAAUAAUUUCUGAUACUCAAGAAAAUCACCGCUUGUUUGUUUCAUCUCAACAAGAUGAUGAAGUGGUGUGAUCUCAAAGAUCUCUGUGUCAAACUGAAGGACACCAUUCCUUCCCUCCUUCCUCCCUUGAAUCUUGACAACACCAUUAUCCUUCUUCCUUACCCUGAGAUUCAACAUCUUUGCGACGUCUUCAAUCUUCAAGAUGAUGGCCGAGGCUGACUUGUCUGAAGUAAAUCUUGCCUCCUUUCUGCACUCCUUUUCAAGAAAGAGGCCAGAUAGAUCAAACCCUGAGGAGAAAGAGAUAAUUUCAAAGGCAUUUAAGUUUGUCACAGUCAGCGGUUUUGCAUCUUCAUAAGGAUUCUUUUUGCGCCUCACAGAAAGUGUUGGAGCAGCAUUUGUGGUGGCAUUCUCACAGGGAAUUUUCUCCUUAACUGUGCGGGUCCCCUCGGGACCUUUUCUGAACCAGGUAGACUCUUUUAUUUUCUGGAUUGAAAUUCUUGUGGCUGGGUUGGGGUCCAGGAUCUUGUACAACAGCUUCUUGAGUUUGUGUGAAAACCAACUGGGGCACCUGAAAUCACCAUGCUGUACCUUUCGAUACAUCUCCAUCAAGUUUGGGCCUUGGAAAGGGAGAUAACCAGCAACAAGAACAAAUAGAACAACACCGCAAGACCAGAUGUCUGAUUUUGCACCAUCAUAGCCUAUCUUGCUGAUCACCUCUGGAGCUACAUAUGCUGGUGUUCCACAGGUGGUAUGGAGCAAUCCAUCUUGCCUUUUCGACUCCGAAAGUGCGCUCAGUCCAAAAUCAGAUACCUUCAGGUUCUCAUCCUCAUCCAGCAGCAGGUUCUCAGGCUUCAGGUCCCGGUGGUACACGCCUCGGCUGUGGCAGUAAUCCACUGCACUAAUAAGCUGCUGGAAGUACUUGUGUGCAGCAGGCUCCGUGAGCUUGCCACUCUUCUCAAUCUUUUCAAAGAGCUCGCCACCUUUCACAUACUCCAUGACAAAGUAGAUCUUGUUCCGUGUUGCCAUGACCUCAUGAAGUUCAACAAUGUUCUUAUGUGCCACCAAUCUCAUUGUUGUGAUCUCACGCCUUAUCUGCUCUGAAAGCCCAACCUUGAGCACUUUGUCCUUAUCCAUCAUCUUAAUAGCAACGCUCUGAUUUGACUCAAGGUUCUUUGCAUAGUGCACCUUGCCAAAUGUUCCUUUCCCCAACAUUCUCCCCAGCUCAUACCGCUCCAUUAAAAUCUUUCCUCUGCCCUCCAUGUCUCCAAAAGUAUAAAACACACGGCUAUCCUCUGGCCGGCCGAUUAGGUGGACUGCAAUGAUUUAGCCCUCCUCCCCCAUGUCAUGGUCCAUGAUGGUGAACAGUACUCUUAUGGCUUGGUCGUGUCGGAGUCUGAAGGGUGUAGGAUUGAUGCAGCUGAGGUGGUCGCUCACAUCAAGAGUUGAGCAGGCUAGCAG
RNAcentral lists this long non-coding RNA (1595 nucleotides) under Setaria viridis. RNAcentral's name for it is "long non-coding RNA (SVIR_LNC008559)". Lineage: Eukaryota; Viridiplantae; Streptophyta; Magnoliopsida; Poales; Poaceae. The record is from RNAcentral.